UCUAUAAUAUACAUAAAAGAUUAUAAACUUAGAAACCCUAAUGCAAAACCCUAAUUUCUAUCCAAUGGUUGAUUGACAUCUAUAACCUUAGCAAGCCACAUGUUGAGGAGUAGAAGCUUACACAUGGUCUGCUACAUGGAACACAUGCAUUGGGCCUAGUGGGAUAUAUAUUUCUCUUUUCCCAAUUCUUUUUUUCAUUUGUGAAGUUUUUUUCUCUCUCUUCUCUCUUUUCUCUCUCGUACGAUCUCUCUCUUCUCUCACUAUCUUCAUACUUUCAUCUCUAACCUUUCUCAAUCUCUUUCUCUCUGUCCUCCUCAUCUCAUCUUCACCAUAACAUCCACCGCAACUUCCACCACCACCUAUAAAUCAAUAACUCAUCAGUGUGAGGGAGUGGCCGAGUGAGAGGAGAUUUGUCGGCGGAAGAGAAGUUCCGGCGAGGAGGAGAGAAUUCCGGCCGAGGAGAGAAGUUCGCGGUAACAGGCGGUGCUUGGCGACGGCGGCGACAAAUCUUCUUUCUCAUUCUUUCCUCUGGUUAGAUCUGUUACUUUCUAUGCUCUAUUUAAUUGCUUUUUCUUCUGUUGUUUUUUUUAUGAGAUGGUUACAGAUUGGAGGUGGUGGUGAUGUGUGUUGGUUAUGGUAGAUGGUGACAGUGAUGUUUUUUUCUUCCAAUUUAUAGACUGAUGAAUCUACUGCAAUCUGUAAACCCCAACAUUUAACACUUAUUUUUAGUUCUGUAUUAUGUUUAGUUUUGAUCUUGCAUGUUUGAAAUCCUCCAUGAAACCCCAACAUUUAACACUUAUUUUUAGUUCUGUAUUAUGUUUAGUUUUGAUCUUGCAUGUUUGAAAUCCUCCAUGAAAUUAAUGUUAUUGGGAUUCAUAUAUAAAUGUCAAUUGCUAAUUGGUCAAUGUGAUUUUUGAAGAAGUUUGGGUUAAACCCGUGUUCUAGGACAGGGCUCCACUAAAAAGGUAAAAUCUCACUCCUCCUAACUCCAAUUGAAAUGCCGUUUGUUUCUGUGGUUAGCUAACUCAAUUCCGGUCGUUGUGACACCAAUUUCAUAAUUUUUGGUUAGGAAAUGAAGUCUGGGGACGCUUCUGAAGUUGAGGUACUGGAGCUGUAAAAAUGGUGUUUUGAGGACUACGAGUUUGGGUACUCAAACGGCACAAACAGAUGGUUUUAGGAUUGCGGAAUAACGUCGUACUGCUAUUAAAUCAGGUGGAUUCCAUUAGGUAAACUCUCACUUAAUAGAGUAGAUUUAUUAGCUUUCCCCAAAUUCAUGAUGCAUGUCAACUUAUGAUUUUAGGAUUAAUUAGGAUAACUCUAUAAUUGAACUAAUUGAUGAUUUAAACAAGCCCUGAAGAUGAUUGAAAUGACUGUAUGUUGUGGAAUUUAGGAUAAACCAGAGGGGGUGGAUUUUGAUCUA
This 1420-nucleotide long non-coding RNA is filed under the name Trifolium pratense (red clover). Its description in RNAcentral is "long non-coding RNA (TPRA_LNC004051)". The record is from RNAcentral. Lineage: Eukaryota; Viridiplantae; Streptophyta; Magnoliopsida; Fabales; Fabaceae.